RNAcentral lists this ribosomal RNA (406 nucleotides) under uncultured bacterium. Its description in RNAcentral is "partial 16S ribosomal RNA". It matches the Rfam family "Bacterial small subunit ribosomal RNA", at positions 30 to 526 of the family's 1533-position model. The record is from RNAcentral.
CUUGAACGCUGGCGGCCGGCCUAACACAUGCAAGUCGAACGAGUGGCGGACGGGUGAGUAAUGUCUGGGAAACUGCCUGAUGGAGGGGGAUAACUACUGGAAACGGUAGCUACUACCGCAUACCAUCAGAUGUGCCCCGAUGUGAUUAGCUAGUUGGUGGUGUAACGGCUCACCCAGGCGACGAUCCCUAGCUGGUCUGAGAGGAUGACCAGCCACACGGGAACUGAGACACGGUCCAGACUCCUACGGGAGGCAGCAGUGGGGAAUAUUGCACAAUGGGCGCAAGCCGGAUGCAGCCAUGCCGCGUGUAUGAAGAAGGCCGUCGGGUUGUAAAGUACUUUCAGCGGGGAGGCGUUACCCGCAGAAGAAGCACCGGCUAACUCCGUGCCAGCAGCCGCGGUAAUUC